Molecule: long non-coding RNA, 368 nt
Filed under: Bos taurus (domestic cattle)
Lineage: Eukaryota; Metazoa; Chordata; Mammalia; Artiodactyla; Bovidae
Description: long non-coding RNA NONBTAT000306
Source: RNAcentral
UUGUUUUUCAGUUGUCAUCACGUAAUAGAAAUGCCUUGUCCCUAAUAGAUGUUGUAUAUUUGCUUAUUGAAUGAAUGCAGUUGAAGGAAUGAUAGUUUCCUGUUUCUGAGGGAAAGUAUGUAGAAUAAGGAGAAGAGAAUGGUAGUAUCUGGGGGAACAUUAGAUAAAAGCAACUAAAAAAGAGAUUGAAAAUGGGCUAAUAAGAAGGUUGUUUUUCAUUGGUUUUGUUUUUCUUUGUUGUCCUAUAUUUUUAAAUUAGAACUCCUAUAAAAUAAUUAUAAUGAUUAGUAAAAUUUAAGACCACUGUUAUUCUAAUAUAUCAGUUAAUUUUAAGUAGAUCAAUAAAUUAACUUCUCAAAGCAGAAUAU